ACAACCUGAAACAUCUAACAUGCAGCUGGCACGGGAGGCCGAGAUCUUGAACCUGUGCCCUGGCCCUGACGACAGAGUUAAAUCCAGAGCAACCAGGCUAACCCUUAAUACCCUGAAACAACGUGAACCAGCUCUGAAUCUUCCGAGGCAGCAGGCCCAAGCUCCUCUGAGCCGCGUGGACAAGAGUGAGGCUGGAGGAGAAAACAAGCUACGCACGGUGCCAAAGGCCUGGAGACUGACCGACUCUGAGACGAGGGCGAACAACUGCCACUGACUCGAGAGCCGGCCAGAAGCAGCUCCAAGAGGCUAACCCACAGGAACAUCGCCCGGCCACUGGGCCAGGGCAAGGCAGGGACGCGGCCACACAGGAGUCGCAAAGCUGUCCGGCCCUGCAGUCUGGGGACCGCUCCACCACCUGCUCCCAGGGGCCAGUCCAGCCAGCGCAGUCCGGCUCCCCAACCCAGCACUUGGCUCGCAGCCCCAGACCGGCCCCUCCCCAAGCAGGCCAGCCCAGGAAGGUUAUCACUGGCUGGAACACGUGCACGACGCCCAGAGUUCUGCAGCCUUGUUGAAACCAUGAGGCGAUGGACAAGUAUCACGUGACAAGCUCACACUCUAGCAACGGCCGAGGGCUGGAUGUUGCUCCUCCAGAUUCCCGGUCCACUCACCUCCACUCUGCUCAGGGCCCUAAGAUGCCAGCUGAGUGGCCCGCAUCAGGCCUUCCUUAGUCUCUGGCUUCCAGCUGGGUUCAUUUAAAGAGGAAGGUGGGAGGCACCGACGGGAGAGAGGAGGGAGGGAGGAAAAGAGGUUAAUUUCCUGCUCCUCCCUGACCGCGUUCCUCUUCUGAGAGCCCAGCUCCUCCCAGCAGCCCAGCAGCAGCUGCAGCCACAAACCUCUCCACAUUCUGCGUGCGGCCCUGCUGCCCCUGCCUCGCGCCGCCAGGCCGGGGGUGGGGGCUGCUGCCGGGAUGCUCCUCCAGCCAGCAGCGGUCUCCCCGAGCCUUUCCCACCCCAGAGAACCGCCCACGCCUUUCCCAAAUCCUCCUCCCCCACCCACUGGAGAGUAUUAUCUCUUUUCUUCCUUUCUUUUCUCUUUUUGUGCCGGGACCCUGAGAGCAGCUCAGAAAGAAAGAGCUGGGUGCCCCCAUCAUGCUGAGCAGUUGGACCCAUCCUGGGCCACCUGCCUGCGGACCUCGUGUCGUGGCGCGAACGCGCAAACCGUCGUGAUUUCUCUUACCCAGUGUGGUUUGCGCACACCCGCCACGGACCACGUUCACAGCUCGUCCAGCAGCAGAUGACUAAGAGGGGGUUCUGCCCUCCAGGGGACAGCCUGUCAGGGAGUGAUCCAUUUCUACGAAAUAAGGCUGUUUCUGUAACAGUCCUAUUGGAGAGCUGGACCACAGGGGCUGCGAAGGACGCCGGCGAGGGGACGGUCACAGCAGAGAAGCCGCAUCUGAGUGUCAGCACAGAGGGCACGGCAGGUCGACCCUGCUGAGGGGCAGGUGCCUCCCCAUCGCUCUUCCAUAAAACGUCCUGUCCCUGUAAAGCCUCCGCCCGCCCGUGGUGUUGAGGGAAUUCCUGCAGGGCGUGUGUGCCCUGGGGUGGCAGCAGGACGGCGCUGGCUGCAGUCAGAGGCAAUGUCUAGGGUGGCAAGCCCCAGCCCAGGGAAGUCCUCGAACAGGUGUAUCUUCCUUGGGGAUGGAAAUAGGUGUGUGUGUGGGGGGGCUCUGAGAGAAGGCUGCGCCUGGUCAGUGGGGACCUGCUGUGCAGCACAGGGAACUCUACUCCAUGUUCUGUAAUAAUCUACGCGGGAAAAAAGAACAGAUAAAUGCGUAACAGAUUCACUUUGCUGUACACCUGAAGCUGACCCAACAUUGUAUGUCGGCUGCCCUCAGGGAGUUCCUGUGUGGCUCAGGGGGUUACGAACCUGCCUAGUAUCCAUGAGGAUGUGGGUUCGAUCCCUGGUCUUGCUCAGUGGGUUAAGGAUCUGGCGUUGCCGUGAGCUGUGGUGUAGGUCACAGACGCGGCUCAGACCCCUCAUUGCUGUGGCUGUGGCGUAGACUGGCAGCUGUAGCUCUGAUUCGACCCCUAGCCUGGGAACCUCCAUAUGCC
This 2111-nucleotide long non-coding RNA is filed under the name Sus scrofa (pig). Its description in RNAcentral is "lncRNA (ENSSSCG00035033974.1, ENSSSCG00045003738.1)". The record is from RNAcentral. Lineage: Eukaryota; Metazoa; Chordata; Mammalia; Artiodactyla; Suidae.